CAGCUCUCCUUGUUCAAUGCAAACGUAACAACUGCUGCCCGCGCUGAAAAAUUCCAACUUAUGAUGGAAAUCCUCUGCAGUCAACACAUUUAUGAAGGCGUUUGAGCACUGCUUGGAAGCAAAGACCAGCUGUAACGGAGACUGUUUGUACUAUCUUGAGCAAUACACUAGGGGGCAGCCAAGGGAUAUUAUACGCAGUGCUUUCAUAUGACUGCAGAUAAAGGAUUUGCUGUUGCCGAGAAGUUGCUCAAGGUGCACUUUGAAAAUGAGUAUCAGAUAACAGCGGACUACAUGGAAAAGACAAGCAUGAGUAAUGUACAGCAGUGGAAACAGAGACCUGAAUGAGAAGAGAAUCAAAGUCUCAGUCAGACUGCAGGAGGAGUGUGUGAUGGUGUCCCUCAGGGGUCAUCUGUACACACACAUUCAUUCCUGCUGACUCAAACAUUCAUCAAGAACAAACUCACUCUGAGAGAUUAUACCCAGAAGGACAUGUUGUUGUUGGAUCAUCAGUAAUAUUUCUGUUUGGAUAAAAGUUGACUUUAUGUAAUCUAUGUUUGAUUUUCUCUGCUGCAGAUUCUCGUCUGGAUGAAGUUAUCCGCUUCUACAAAGGUUCUCUUCUGGAGGGAGUUAUCCGCUUCUACAAAGAUUCUGAUCUGGAGGAAGUUAUCCGCUUCUACAAAGAUUCUGAUCUGGAGGAAGAAGAGAUGUCCGAUCAUCACUAUGGU
This is a long non-coding RNA of Eleginops maclovinus (Patagonian blennie), 725 nucleotides long. RefSeq lists it as uncharacterized. The record is from RefSeq and is a predicted model, not a curated record. The transcript has 4 exons. NCBI's taxonomy places the organism in Eukaryota, Metazoa, Chordata, Actinopteri, Perciformes, Eleginopidae.